Molecule: long non-coding RNA, 644 nt
Filed under: Lathyrus oleraceus (garden pea)
Lineage: Eukaryota; Viridiplantae; Streptophyta; Magnoliopsida; Fabales; Fabaceae
Description: Pisum sativum (pea) long non-coding RNA (PSAT_LNC039349)
Source: RNAcentral
UCAAAUUUAUCUAUGCUAUGAUACUUUUUCUUUCCUUGUUUCUUACUUUAUUCCAGAUUGUUGGUAAGCCUUUUAUAUUAUUUUCAUUUUUUUUCUUUAUUUUAUACAUAAUUGUUCAUACAUUUUCAGUAACUUUUCUUUACUCUUAUUUUACAUAACAGCAGGUGACUGUGUUUCUGAUUGUGAAGCCAUGUAUAGGUGUGAGUCUCCUAAUAGAACUAUGAAGUGUUUUAUGUAUGUAUGCGUGUGCUGGUGGUAACACAGUUAAGUAAAGAAUAACUAUUCUUGAGUUAGUUUGAUACCAUAACCAUUUGAAGUAGCGUGUAUUGAACAUUUAAUUAUCAUCCAUCAAUCAUGUGAUACUAACCAUCACUUAUUUUUAUAUGCAGAUUAUACUCUAUGGUUAUGAGAAGCAAUUAGUAGAGUUUCACUAGUGAAAGCUGAGUAGAGGAUUGUGCCUAGCUAUGUUUUUUUGUUGAGAUUUUUAGUGUAUAAUGACAAAUGUAUUAUGUAACUUAACCUUCAACUAAAUCACACAAACAAUGUUGAUGUGUUGGAAUUAAGGUAAAAUAAAUAAGUUGUAUCGACACUCUCAAUGAUGAAAUAUCAAACGUAUAUGGAAGAAAAUUUAUGAAAAAGAAAAA